GAUCAGUUUAAAAAACUGAAAAAGAAUAUAUAUAUAUAUAUGUGUGUGUGUGUGUGUGUGUGUGUGUGUGUGUGUGUAGACACACACACAUAUAUAAGACUACUUCUGUAGACACAGAAA
This 120-nucleotide microRNA precursor is filed under the name Ovis aries (sheep). RNAcentral describes it as "miRNA (ENSOARG00000024785.1)". The record is from RNAcentral. Lineage: Eukaryota; Metazoa; Chordata; Mammalia; Artiodactyla; Bovidae.